GAUGAAUGCUGGCGGCGUGCCUAAUACAUGCAAGUCGAGCGGUAAGGCCCUUCGUGGUACACGAGCGGCGGACGGCUGAGUAACGCGUGGGAACAUGCCCCAAAGUGAGGGAUAACGCACCGAAAGGUGUGCUAAUACCGCAUAUGGUCUUCGGAUUAAAGGAUUUAUCCGCUUUGGGAGUGGCCCGCGUACGAUUAGAUUGUUGGUGAGGUAACGGCUCACCAAGUCGACGAUCGUUAACUGGUCUGAGAGGAUGAUCAGUCAGACUGGAACUGAGACACGGUCCAG
RNAcentral lists this ribosomal RNA (288 nucleotides) under uncultured bacterium. Its description in RNAcentral is "partial 16S ribosomal RNA". It matches the Rfam family "Bacterial small subunit ribosomal RNA", at positions 28 to 334 of the family's 1533-position model. The record is from RNAcentral.